UACGAAGGGUGCAAGCGUUACUCGGAAUUACUGGGCGUAAAGCGCACGCAGGCGGUCUGUUAAGUCGGAUGUGAAAUCCCCGGGCUUAACCUGGGAACUGCAUUCGAAACUGGCAGGCUGGAGUCUCGUAGAGGGGGGUAAAAUUCCAGGUGUAGCGGUGAAAUGCGUAGAGAUCUGGAGGAAUACCGGUGGCGAAGGCGGCCCCCUGGACGAAGACUGACGCUCAGGUGCGAAAGCGUGGGGGGCAAACAGG
RNAcentral lists this ribosomal RNA (253 nucleotides) under uncultured bacterium. RNAcentral describes it as "partial 16S ribosomal RNA". It matches the Rfam family "Bacterial small subunit ribosomal RNA", at positions 524 to 776 of the family's 1533-position model. The record is from RNAcentral.